RNAcentral lists this ribosomal RNA (724 nucleotides) under uncultured Alphaproteobacteria bacterium. RNAcentral's name for it is "bacterial SSU rRNA". It matches the Rfam family "Bacterial small subunit ribosomal RNA", at positions 8 to 780 of the family's 1533-position model. The record is from RNAcentral. Lineage: Bacteria; Pseudomonadati; Pseudomonadota; Alphaproteobacteria.
AGAGUUUGAUCCUGGCUCAGGACGAACGCUGGCGGCAGGCUUAACACAUGCAAGUCGAGCGCCCUGCUUGCAGGGAGCGGCAGACGGGUGAGUAACGCGUGGGAACGUGCCCUUCGGUUCGGAAUAGCCCCGGGAAACUGGGUGUAAUACCGAAUACGACCUCCGGGUGAAAGAUUUAUCGCCGAAGGAUCGGCCCGCGUUAGAUUAGCUUGAUGGUGGGGUAAAGGCCUACCAUGGCGACGAUCUAUAGCUGGUUUGAGAGGACGACCAGCCACACUGGGACUGAGACACGGCCCAGACUCCUACGGGAGGCAGCAGUGGGGAAUAUUGGACAAUGGGCGAAAGCCUGAUCCAGCCAUGCCGCGUGGAUGAAGAAGGCCCUAGGGUUGUAAAAUCCUUUCGCUAGGGAAGAUAAUGACGGUACCUAGUAAAGAAGCCCCGGCUAAUUUCGUGCCAGCAGCCGCGGUAAUACGAAAGGGGCUAGCGUUGUUCGGAAUUACUGGGCGUAAAGCGCACGUAGGCGGCAUUGUAAGUUAGAGGUGAAAUCCCGGAGCCCAACUCCGGAACUGCCUUUAAACUACAAAGCUAGAGGAUGUGAGAGGAGAGUGGAAUUCCGAGUGUAGAGGUGAAAUUCGUAGAUAUUCGGAAAACACCAGUGGCGAAGGCGACUCUCUGGCACAUUUCUGACGCUGAGGUGCGAAAGCGUGGGGAGCGAACAGGAUUA